Bos taurus (domestic cattle) is the source of this 704-nucleotide long non-coding RNA. The record is from Ensembl. NCBI's taxonomy places the organism in Eukaryota, Metazoa, Chordata, Mammalia, Artiodactyla, Bovidae.
AAGUCGGGUCUGACUCUUUUGAGACCCCAUGGAUGGUAGCCUGCCAGGCUCUUCUGUCCAUGGGAUUUUCCAGGCUGGAAACCUCACAUUGCCAGAGAUGGAGCCACCAGAUACCAAGGAAACAUUGGCUGAAAGAAUUUGAAUUCAGAAGAUGGAGCCCAUUGGGAAAAAAAAAAAUCAAAUAGAUAUUCAUUGUUUAAGGCAAAGAAACGUGGUGCCACUCCUGCUUCUGGGAUCCAAGGCUACCCAACUCUAGCCUCCUCUGAACUCCAGGCUUGGCCCAAAGUCCCAGGACACAGCCUCGGGAACUGAAGGGGGAUUUUGGGAGAAAAAAUAUCGUCUGUCUAUAGGUAUCAACAUUGUGUGUGUUCAUGCUCAGUCGCUUGGUCGUGUCCAACUCUUUGUGACCCUAUGGACUGUAGCCCACCAGGCUUCUCUGUCCAUGACAUUUUCCAGGCAAGAAUACUGGAGUGAGUUGCUAUUUCCUACUCCAGGGGAUCUUCCCAACCCCGGGACUGAAACCUAGUCUCCCAUGUCUCCAGCAUUGGCAGAUGGAUUCUUUAGCACUGUGCCACCUGGGAAGCCCAGGUAUCAACAUUGCUUUCCUUUAAACAUUUAAAAAAAAUGUCUAAACCUCCCCACAAUUCAAAUGUUUCUCUUAUUAUCUUCUGCCGAGGGAAAAAAUUAAUAACACAGCACAAUAU